This 253-nucleotide ribosomal RNA is filed under the name uncultured bacterium. Its description in RNAcentral is "partial 16S ribosomal RNA". It matches the Rfam family "Bacterial small subunit ribosomal RNA", at positions 524 to 776 of the family's 1533-position model. The record is from RNAcentral.
UACGGAGGGGGCUAGCGUUGUUCGGAAUUACUGGGCGUAAAGCGCACGUAGGCGGCUUUGUAAGUUAGAGGUGAAAGCCCGGAGCUUAACUCCGGAACUGCCUUUAAGACUGCAUCGCUUGAAUCAUGGAGAGGUCAGUGGAAUUCCGAGUGUAGAGGUGAAAUUCGUAGAUAUUCGGAAGAACACCAGUGGCGAAGGCGACUGACUGGACAUGUAUUGACGCUGAGGUGCGAAAGCGUGGGGAGCAAACAGG